RNAcentral lists this transfer RNA (77 nucleotides) under Candidatus Nitronauta litoralis. Its description in RNAcentral is "tRNA-Arg". It matches the Rfam family "tRNA". From Rfam's summary of the family: Transfer RNA (tRNA) molecules are approximately 80 nucleotides in length. Their secondary structure includes four short double-helical elements and three loops (D, anti-codon, and T loops). Further hydrogen bonds mediate the characteristic L-shaped molecular structure. tRNAs have two regions of fundamental functional importance: the anti-codon, which is responsible for specific mRNA codon recognition, and the 3' end, to which the tRNAs corresponding amino acid is attached (by aminoacyl-tRNA synthetases). tRNAs cope with the degeneracy of the genetic code in two manners: having more than one tRNA (with a specific anti-codon) for a particular amino acid; and 'wobble' base-pairing, i.e. permitting non-standard base-pairing at the 3rd anti-codon position. Lineage: Bacteria; Pseudomonadati; Nitrospinota; Nitrospinia; Nitrospinales; Nitrospinaceae. The record is from RNAcentral.
GUCCCCGUAGCUCAGUUGGAUAGAGCACAGGAUUCCUAAUCCUGGGGCCGCAGGUUCGACUCCUGCCGGGGACACCA